This 497-nucleotide ribosomal RNA is filed under the name uncultured bacterium. Its description in RNAcentral is "partial 16S ribosomal RNA". It matches the Rfam family "Bacterial small subunit ribosomal RNA", at positions 28 to 507 of the family's 1533-position model. The record is from RNAcentral.
GAUGAACGCUGGCGGCGUGCCUAAUACAUGCAAGUCGAGCGAACAGACGAGGAGCUUGCUCCUCUGACGUUAGCGGCGGACGGGUGAGUAACACGUGGAUAACCUACCUAUAAGACUGGGAUAACUUCGGGAAACCGGAGCUAAUACCGGAUAAUAUAUUGAACCGCAUGGUUCAAUAGUGAAAGACGGUUUUGCUGUCACUUAUAGAUGGAUCCGCGCCGCAUUAGCUAGUUGGUAAGGUAACGGCUUACCAAGGCAACGAUGCGUAGCCGACCUGAGAGGGGGAUCCGGCACACCGGAACCGAGACAAGGUCCCGACCCCUAAGGGAGGCAGCCGUAGGGAAACUUCCGCAAAGGGCGGAAGCCUGAAGGAGCAAAGGCGGGGGGGGGAAGAAGGUCCUCGGAUCGUAAAACUCUGUUAUUAGGGAAGAACAAAUGUGUAAGUAACUAUGCACGUCUUGACGGUACCUAAUCAGAAAGCCACGGCUAACUACGUG